Molecule: ribosomal RNA, 497 nt
Filed under: uncultured bacterium
Lineage: Bacteria
Description: partial 16S ribosomal RNA
Rfam family: Bacterial small subunit ribosomal RNA
Source: RNAcentral
GAUGAACGCUGGCGGCGUGCCUAAUACAUGCAAGUCGAGCGAACGGGCGAGAAGCUUGCUUCUCUGAUGUUAGCGGCGGACGGGUGAGUAACACGUGGAUAACCUACCUAUAAGACUGGUAUAACUUCGGGAAACCGGCGCUAAUACCGUAUGAUAUUUUGAACCGUAUGGUUCAAAAGUGAAAGACGGUCUUGCUGUCACGUAUAGAUGGAUCCGCGCUGCAUUAGCUAGUUGGUAAGGUAACGGCUUACCAAGGCAACGAUGCAUAGCCGACCUGAGAGGGUGAUCGGCCACACUGGAACUGAGACACGGACCAGACUCCUACGGGAGGCAGCAGUAGGGAAUCUUCCGCAAUGGGCGAAAGCCUGACGGAGCAACGCCGCGUGAGUGAUGAAGGUCUUCGGAUCGUAAAACUCUGUUAUUAGGGAAGAACAUAUGUGUAAGUAACUGUGCACAUCUUGACGGUACCUAAUCAGAAAGCCACGGCUAACUACGUG